GAACGCACCUUGCACCCUUUGGCAUUCCGAAGGGCAUGCCUGUUUGAGUAUCAUGAACACCUCAACUCUCAUGGCUUGCCAUGAUGAGCUUGGACUUUGGGGGUCUUGUCGGCCUGCGGUCGGCUCCUCUCAAAUGGAUCAGCUUGCCAGUGUUUGGUGGCGUCACAGGUGUGAUAACUAUCUGCGCUUGUGGUUUCCCAUCAGAUAACCUUCAGCGAUGGAGGUUCACUGGGGCUUACAAAAGGUCUCUCCUCGGUGAGGACAGCUCUUUGAAUGUUUGAUCUCAAAUCAGGUAGGACUACCCGCUGAACUUAAG
This 316-nucleotide unclassified non-coding RNA is filed under the name uncultured fungus. RNAcentral describes it as "sequence contains 5.8S rRNA gene". Lineage: Eukaryota; Fungi. The record is from RNAcentral.